UGGGGAAUUUUGCGCAAUGGGGGAAACCCUGACGCAGCAACGCCGCGUGAGUGAUGAAGGCCUUCGGGUCGUAAAGCUCUGUCAGAGGGAAAGAAGUGCAGUGGUGCUAAUACCAUCAUUGCUUGACGGUACCCUCAAAGGAAGCACCGGCUAACUCCGUGCCAGCAGCCGCGGUAAUACGGAGGGUGCGAGCGUUGUUCGGAAUUAUUGGGCGUAAAGCGCGUGCAGGCGGUCUUUUAAGUCUGAUGUGAAAGCCCCGGGCUCAACCUGGGAAGUGUAUUGGAAGCUGAGAGACUUGAAUACGGGAGAGGGUAGUGGAAUUCCUAGUGUAGGAGUGAAAUCCGUAGAUAUUAGGAGGAACACCGGUGGCGAAGGCGGCUACCUGGACCGAUAUUGACGCUGAGACGCGAAAGCGUGGGGAGCAAA
This 426-nucleotide ribosomal RNA is filed under the name uncultured bacterium. RNAcentral's name for it is "bacterial SSU rRNA". It matches the Rfam family "Bacterial small subunit ribosomal RNA", at positions 355 to 772 of the family's 1533-position model. The record is from RNAcentral.